Molecule: ribosomal RNA, 374 nt
Filed under: Shigella sonnei
Lineage: Bacteria; Pseudomonadati; Pseudomonadota; Gammaproteobacteria; Enterobacterales; Enterobacteriaceae
Description: partial 23S ribosomal RNA
Rfam family: Bacterial large subunit ribosomal RNA
Source: RNAcentral
GGGUUGUGAGGUUAAGCGACUAAGCGUACACGGUGGAUGCCCUGGCAGUCAGAGGCGAUGAAGGACGUGCUAAUCUGCGAUAAGCGUCGGUAAGGUGAUAUGAACCGUUAUAACCGGCGAUUUCCGAAUGGGGAAACCCAGUGUGAUUCGUCACACUAUCAUUAACUGAAUCCAUAGGUUAAUGAGGCGAACCGGGGGAACUGAAACAUCUAAGUACCCCGAGGAAAAGAAAUCAACCGAGAUUCCCCCAGUAGCGGCGAGCGGACGGGGAGCAGCCCAGAGCCUGAAUCAGUGUGUGUGUUAGUGGAAGCGUCUGGAAAGGCGUGCGAUACAGGGUGACAGCCCCGUACACAAAAAUGCACAUAUUGUGAGCU